This 731-nucleotide long non-coding RNA is filed under the name Homo sapiens (human). RNAcentral describes it as "HSALNT0169030". Lineage: Eukaryota; Metazoa; Chordata; Mammalia; Primates; Hominidae. The record is from RNAcentral.
CAGAGGGGGUAAAGUGGACUGGGGAGAACUUCGGAGGAUGUUCAUGUCCAGGAGCAGCCCCACGCCCUGUAUGGUCGGUGUCUAGAGCCUCACAGCAACUAAGACCAACCCAGCUCUCAGAAGAAGGAAUGUCAAAAUGUCAUGUUCAAUUUUACAUUCAGUGCCUGGAAUCUUUUCUUCACAAUUGAAAUGAAAUGUGCUGAAGGAGGUGAAUCCAUGCAUUAAUCUUCAGCUCACAAAGGAAAUACUACAUAAGAAGCAAGACCACAGACUCAAGAAGGACAUAAUUGGAUUUUUUUUGCCAUGGCCUGGAAAGAAAGGUACACACAGUUAACCACAAAACAGGCCUCUCUGAAAAAGCCAUUGCCAUGGACUGCCAGACAGACAAUGACAAGACACAAAUACCUUCUGGUGUGUGAGCCACGGGACAUGUGAGCUUCCCCGCUGAUGCUCCUCUUAUAUCAAAGAUCACUUUCACAACAUGAGCGACUAUCUUUUAUCAAACCAAUGAUCACCUGCAAGCUAUGGUAUAUUUUUGCAGCUGUGUAGAGCUAUGUGGCAUGAGAAUGUGGGACUUAUAAAUUGCUGAUCCAAUAAAUAGACAUUAUGGGCAACAGUGUCUUAUCAGCUAGUGUGUACUAAGGUUUCAGGAACAGUUGUUCUGACCUUACUAUCCAACGAGGAGUAACUGAUUCACUUCUCAGAGGUAUAUUAACCUAAUUUGGACAUCA